GACGAACGCUGGCGGCAUGCUUAACACAUGCAAGUCGAACGGAAAGGCCCUGCUUUUGUGGGGUGCUCGAGUGGCGAACGGGUGAGUAACACGUGAGUAACCUGCCCUUGACUUUGGGAUAACUUCAGGAAACUGGGGCUAAUACCGGAUAGGAGCUCCUGCUGCAUGGUGGGGGUUGGAAAGUUUCGGCGGUUGGGGAUGGACUCGCGGCUUAUCAGCUUGUGGGUGGGGUAGUGGCUUACCAAGGCUUUGACGGGUAGCCGGCCUGAGAGGGUGACCGGCCACAUUGGGCCUGGGAUCCGGCCCAGACUCCUACGGGAGGCAGCAGUGGGGAAUAUUGCACAAUGGGCGGAAGCCUGAUGCAGCAACGCCGCGUGCGGGAUGACGGCCUUCGGGUUGUAACCCGCUUUCGCCUGUGACGAAGCGUGAGUGACGGUAAUGGGUAAAGAAGCACCGGCUAACUACGUG
Molecule: ribosomal RNA, 468 nt
Filed under: uncultured bacterium
Lineage: Bacteria
Description: partial 16S ribosomal RNA
Rfam family: Bacterial small subunit ribosomal RNA
Source: RNAcentral